RNAcentral lists this ribosomal RNA (254 nucleotides) under uncultured bacterium. RNAcentral describes it as "partial 16S ribosomal RNA". It matches the Rfam family "Bacterial small subunit ribosomal RNA", at positions 524 to 776 of the family's 1533-position model. The record is from RNAcentral.
GACGUAGGAGGCGAGCGUUGUCCGGAUUUAUUGGGCGUAAAGAGCUCGUAGGCGGCUCAGUAAGUCAGGUGUGAAAACUCCAGGCUCAACCUGGAGACGCCACCUGAUACUGCUGUGGCUAGAGUCCGGUAGGGGAGACUGGAAUUCCUGGUGUAGCGGUGAAAUGCGCAGAUAUCAGGAGGAACACCGGUGGCGAAGGCGGGUCUCUGGGCCGAUAUUGACGCUGAGGAGCGAAAGCGUGGGGAGCGAACAGG